GAUGAACGCUAGCUACAGGCUUAACACAUGCAAGUCGAGGGGCAGCAUUUUAGUUUGCUUGCAAACUGAAGAUGGCGACCGGCGCACGGGUGAGUAACACGUAUCCAACCUGCCGAUAACUCCGGGAUAGCCUUUCGAAAGAAAGAUUAAUACCGGAUAGUAUACGAAUAUCGCAUGAUAUUUUUAUUAAAGAAUUUCGGUUAUCGAUGGGGAUGCGUUCCAUUAGUUUGUUGGCGGGGUAACGGCCCACCAAGACUACGAUGGAUAGGGGUUCUGAGAGGAAGGUCCCCCACAUUGGAACUGAGACACGGUCCAAACUCCUACGGGAGGCAGCAGUGAGGAAUAUUGGUCAAUGGGCGCGAGCCUGAACCAGCCAAGUAGCGUGAAGGAUGAAGGCUCUAUGGGUCGUAAACUUCUUUUAUAUGGGAAUAAAGUUUUCCACGUGUGGAAUUUUGUAUGUACCAUAUGAAUAAGGAUCGGCUAACUCCGUGCCAGCAGCCGCGGUAAUACGGAGGAUCCGAGCGUUAUCCGGAUUUAUUGGGUUUAAAGGGAGCGUAGGUGGAUUGUUAAGUCAGUUGUGAAAGUUUGCGGCUCAACCGUAAAAUUGCAGUUGAAACUGGCAGUCUUGAGUACAGUAGAGGUGGGCGGAAUUCGUGGGUGUAGCGGUGAAAUGCUUAGAUAUCACGAAGAACUCCGAUUGCGAAGGCAGCUCACUAGACUGUCACUGACACUGAUGCUCGAAAGUGUGGGUAUCAAACAGGAUUAGAUACCCUGGUAGUCCACACAGUAAACGAUGAAUACUCGCUGUUUGCGAUAUACAGUAAGCGGCCAAGCGAAAGCAUUAAGUAUUCCACCUGGGGAGUACGCCGGCAACGGUGAAACUCAAAGGAAUUGACGGGGGCCCGCACAAGCGGAGGAACAUGUGGUUUAAUUCGAUGAUACGCGAGGAACCUUACCCGGGCUUAAAUUGCAACAGAAUAUAUUGGAAACAGUAUAGCCGUAAGGCUGUUGUGAAGGUGCUGCAUGGUUGUCGUCAGCUCGUGCCGUGAGGUGUCGGCUUAAGUGCCAUAACGAGCGCAACCCUUAUCUUUAGUUACUAACAGGUUAUGCUGAGGACUCUAGAGAGACUGCCGUCGUAAGAUGUGAGGAAGGUGGGGAUGACGUCAAAUCAGCACGGCCCUUACGUCCGGGGCUACACACGUGUUACAAUGGGGGGUACAGAAGGCGGCUACCUGGUGACAGGAUGCUAAUCCCAAAAACCUCUCUCAGUUCGGAUCGAAGUCUGCAACCCGACUUCGUGAAGCUGGAUUCGCUAGUAAUCGCGCAUCAGCCAUGGCGCGGUGAAUACGUUCCCGGGCCU
Molecule: ribosomal RNA, 1360 nt
Filed under: uncultured bacterium
Lineage: Bacteria
Description: bacterial SSU rRNA
Rfam family: Bacterial small subunit ribosomal RNA
Source: RNAcentral